Molecule: ribosomal RNA, 429 nt
Filed under: uncultured archaeon
Lineage: Archaea
Description: bacterial SSU rRNA
Rfam family: Archaeal small subunit ribosomal RNA
Source: RNAcentral
UACCAGCUCUCCGAGUGGUGUGGAUGUUUAUUGGGCCUAAAGCAUCCGUAGCUGGCUGGGCAAGUCCCCUGUUAAAUCCACCGAUUUAAUCGUUGGAGUGCGGGGGAUACUGUUCGGCUAGGGGACGGGAGAGGCAGACGGUAUUUUCGGGGUAGGGGUGAAAUCCUAUAAUCCCGGGAAGACCACCAGUGGCGAAGGCUGUCUGCUAGAACGCGCCCGACGGUGAGGGAUGAAAGCUGGGGGAGCGAACCGGAUUAGAUACCCGGGUAGUCCCAGCUGUAAACGAUGCGGGCUAGGUGUUGGGGUGGCUACGGGCCACUUCAGUGCCGCAGGAAAGCCAUUAAGCCCGCCGCCUGGGGAGUACGGCCGCAAGGCUGAAACUUAAAGGAAUUGGCGGGGGAGCACCACAAGGCGUGAAGCUUGCGGUUC